This 497-nucleotide ribosomal RNA is filed under the name uncultured bacterium. RNAcentral describes it as "partial 16S ribosomal RNA". It matches the Rfam family "Bacterial small subunit ribosomal RNA", at positions 28 to 507 of the family's 1533-position model. The record is from RNAcentral.
GAUGAACGCUGGCGGCGUGCCUAAUACAUGCAAGUCGAACGAACAGACGAGGAGCUUGCGGCGCGGACGUGAGGGGCGGGCGGGUGAGUAACACGUGUAUAACCUACCUAUAAGAGGGGGAAAACUUGGGGAAAGGGGAGCUAAUACCGGAGAAGAUAUUGAAGCACAGGGGGGAAUAGUGAAAGACGGUGGUGCGGGCACGUAUAGAUGGAUCCGCGCCGGAUGAGGUAGUUGCGAAGGUAACCGGCUACCAAGGCAACGAUGCGUAGCCGACCUGUGAGGCUGAUCGCCCACCUUGGAGCUGAGCCACCGUCAUUACUCCUGCGGUAGGCAGCAGUCUCCAAUCUUCCGCAAUGGUCGAGAGCCUGACGCAGUAGCGCCGCGUCAGUGAUGACGGUGUCCGGUUCGUAAAACUCUGUUAUUAGUUAAGAACCACUGUCUCCUUAACUGUGCCCUUCUUGACGGUACCUGGUCAGAAAGCAACGGCUAACUACGUG